UAAAAACUCAGAGGUAGAUAUUAUUUGGUAGGUGCUCAAAUCAACCUUUGCCUGUUGAUGCUCCCUUGAUGUUCUUAGCUGAGUGUCCUAUUAUAGGGCCCAAAGCAUUUACUUUGGAAAAAAUUAGAGUGUUUGGUGCAGGAUCAAGCCGCUGCAUACUGCAGAUAGAAUAGGACCCCUGGUUCUGCUUUGUUGGCUUUUGGAACUGAAAUCAUGAUUAAAAAGGGUGGCCCUGGGUUUAUAAUUAUGCCGUAGAGGUAAAAUUAUUGGACCUUUGCAAGAUGGACCACAGUGGAAGGGUUUGCCAAGAAUGUUUUCAUUUA
This 323-nucleotide non-coding RNA is filed under the name Ailuropoda melanoleuca (giant panda). RNAcentral's name for it is "Eukaryotic small subunit ribosomal RNA". It matches the Rfam family "Eukaryotic small subunit ribosomal RNA", at positions 634 to 976 of the family's 1831-position model. The record is from Rfam by way of RNAcentral. Lineage: Eukaryota; Metazoa; Chordata; Mammalia; Carnivora; Ursidae.